AGACUUUGAUCCUGGCUCAGAUUGAACGCUAGCGGGAUGCCUUACACAUGCAAGUCGAACGGCAGCGCGAGGAAAGCUUGCUUUCCUUGGCGGCGAGUGGCGAACGGGUGAGUAAUGUAUCGGAACGUGCCCAGUAGCGGGGGAUAACCACUCGAAAGAGUGGCUAAUACCGCAUACGCCCUUCGGGGGAAAGGGGGGGAUUCUUUCGGGAACCUCUCACUAUUGGAGCGGCCGAUAUCGGAUUAGCUAGUUGGUGGGGUAAAGGCUCACCAAGGCCACGAUCCGUAGCUGGUUUGAGAAGACGGCCAGCCACACUGGGACUGAGACACGGCCCCAGACUCCUACGGGAGGCAGCAGUGGGGAAUUUUGGACAAUGGGGGGAACCCUGAUCCA
Molecule: ribosomal RNA, 393 nt
Filed under: uncultured bacterium
Lineage: Bacteria
Description: bacterial SSU rRNA
Rfam family: Bacterial small subunit ribosomal RNA
Source: RNAcentral